GCACGCACAGGGGGAGACAGCCCGUGUCACUGCCCCACCCCCCCAACGGCCAUUGGCUCCCCCAUCGCCCUGCUCCCCGCCCGGCCCGAGGGGGGCACACACCCAUGGAGACUACAGCUCCCAGCAUGCAUCGGCCUAGAACGCCCUGCGCUACGGCACCUGACUUCCGCCGCCCUGCUGGGAACACGUGACCGGAAGGGCGCCGCCUCUUGGGAAAGGUCACUGGGCUGAGGGCGGGGUGAGCGCGAGGCGUCCGACCCGGAACUGCCGCCGACCCCCGUCUCCGAGACGCUUCCUCUCGCAGCCGCGCCCGGCAGGAGGGGACGAGCAUGGGCUCCGCCAAGCAGCUCGCGGACUUUGGGUAUAAGGCCUUCUCCGGCUCCAUGAUGCUUCUGACCGUCUACGGGGGCUAUCUCUGCAGCGCCAGGGUUUACCGCUACUUCCAGCGCCAGAAAGCCCUGAAGCAGCUUGAACAGAACCAGCUAAACACAGGGGCCAUUGAGGACUGAGUCCUGCUCUCUGCCUGGCUGCAUGGCCAGAGGCUAUGUUGAGAUUACUCCUGCUGCAGUAAUCAGGUAGCACGUGCAACCCUUCCCGAUCACAAAUGAGGGCUAGCUUAGAUCACUUGGGGUUUUCCUCAGGCACACUAAGGUGUCUUGAGUUUUUCUGCACUAAUGAGACGUUACAAAGUACCUCUGCGUAAGCAUCUGUUUUGAUCAUGUGAUUAAAUAUUUUACUUAUUUCUCCUCUUGUCAGUAUGUGACUAGAACCACCUGAGUGGAGGAGUAAGUCAGUUAAAUCAACAUCAAUACACAAUUUUACUAAAAACCCCUCACAGGGGGGAUGUCUGCCUUGAUGCCAUUCUUCUAAAAUUCUCCACUUCCAGGCCAGCAAACUGAAUAGCUGCAGGUUGAGGGAGACUGAGGGCUUGUCUACACUUAAAAACACUGUAGCUGUAUCUCUAUAAUGCUUCAAUGGAGACAUUACCUACACUAAUUGGAGGGGUUCUCCAGGCAGCAUAGGUAAUCCACCUGAGAGGCAGUAGCUAGGUUAAUAGGGCUAUGUCUCAACUACUGCAGUAAGUUGACCUAUGCUACGCCUGAAUAACGUAGCUGGAGUCGACAUAGACUCGUAGAACUGGAAGGGACCUCGAGAGGUCAUCUAGUCCAGUCCCCUGCACUCAAGGCAGGACUAAGUAUUAUCUAGACCAUCCCUGACAGGUGUUUGUCCAACCUGUUCUUAAAAAUCCCCAAUGAUGGAGAUUCCACAAUCUCCCUAGGCAAUUUAUUCCAGUGCUUAACUACUCUGUCCCUUAGGAAGUUUUUCCUAAUGUCCAACCUAAAGUGCCCUUGCUGUGAUUUAAGCCCAUUGCUUCUUGUUCUUAACCUCUGAGGAUAGGACAAUAAUUUUUCUCCCUCCUUGCAACAACCUUUUAUGUACUUGAAAACUGUUAUUAUGUCCCCUCUGUCUUCUCUUCUCCAGACUAAACAAAACCAAUUUUUCCCUCAUAGGUUAUGUUUUCUAGACCUUUAAUAAUUUUUGUUGCUCUUCUCUGGACUUUCUCCAAAUUGACCACAUCUUUCCUGAAAUGUGGUGCCCAGAACUGAACACAAUACUCCAGUUGAGGCCUAAUUAGAGCAGAGUAGAAGAAUUACUUCUCAUGUCUUGCUUAUAACACUCCUGCUAAUACAUCCCAGAAUGAUGUUUGCUUUUUCUGCAACAGCAUUACACUGUUGACCCAUAUUUAGCUUAGCAACUACGACCCCCCAGAGCCCUUUCCACAGUACUUCUUCCUACGCAGUUAUUUUCUAUUUUGUAUGUGUGCAACUGAUUGUUCCUUCCUAAGUGGAGUACUUUGCAUUUGUCCUAAUUACUUCAGACCAUUUCUCCAGAUCAUUUUGAAAAUAAUUGCUAAUGGCUCAUAUCUCCUCCUUAAGUAUUCUAGGAUGCAUUUCAUCAGGCCCUGGUGAUUUGAAGACAUCUAACUUGUCUAAGUAAUUUUUGACUUGUUCUUUCCCUAUUUUAGACUCUAAUCCUACCUCAUUUUCACUGGCAUUCACUAUGCUAGAUGUCCAAUUGCCACCAACCUUCUUGGUGAAAACCAAAACAAAGAAGUUUUUAAGCAGCUUUGCCAUUUCCACAUUUUCUUUGUCUUUGCCUCCUCAUUGAGUAAUGGGCCUACUCUGUCCUUGGUCUUCCUCUUGCUUCUAAUGUCUUCGUAAAAUGUUUUCUUGCUUCCUUUUAUGUCCCUAGCUAGUUUGAUCUCAUUUUGUGCCUUGGCUUUUCUAAUUUUGUCCCUACAUACUUUGUUUAUAGUCAUCCUUUAAGAAAAGGAGUACUUGUGGCACCUUAGAGACUAACAAAUUUAUUUGAGCAUAAGCUUUUGUGAGCUACAGCUCACUUCAUCAGAUGCAUUCAGUGGAAACUCUGAAACCAGUCAUCCUUUGUAAUUUGACCAAAUUUCCACUUUUUGUAGGAUUCUCUUUUGAGUUUUAGAUCAUUGAAGAUCUCCUGGUUAAGCAGGGUGAUCUCUUGCCAUACUUCCUAUCUUUCCUGUGCAGUAGGAUAAUUUCCUCUUGUGCCCUUAAUAAUGUCUCUUUGAAAAACUGCCAAUUGUCGUUCAAUUGUUUUUUCCCCUUAGACUUGCUUCCCAUGGGAUUUUACCUACCAACUCCCUGAGUUUGCUAAAGUCUGCCUUCUUGAAAUCCAUUGUCUUUAUUGUACUGUUCUCCCUCCUACUAUUCCUUAGAAUCAUGAACUCUACCAUUUCAUGAUCACUUUCUUCCCAGUUGCUUUCCACUUUCAAAUUCUCAACCAGUUCCUCCCUGUCUGUCAAAAUCAAAUCUAGAACGGCCUCCCCCCCCUUAGCUUUCUCCACCUUCUGAAAAAGUCUCCAAUACAUUCCAAGAACUUGCUAGAUAAGCUGUGUCCUGCUGUGUUGUUUUCCCCAACAGCUGUCUGGGUAGGUCAAGUUACUGCAGGGUCUGCACAGUGCGGGGGUCGACGGGAGAAAUUUUCCCACCGACUUACCUUACUCUUCUCAUCAGACAGAGUACAGGGGUCAACUUGAGAGCGAUCUGCUGUCGAUUUGGUGGGUGUUCACUAGAUCCAUUAAAUCAAUCUCAGAGAGUGGAGUCUGGCUGUACUGUAGAUGUAGCCUAGGAGAAUUCUCCCAUUGACCUAGCAUUGUCUACACCAGGAGUUAAGUCAGUUUAACUGCAUUGCUUGGGGGUGUAGAUUUUUCACACUGCUGAGUGAGUUAUACCGACCUAAUUUCCUAGUGUAGACUCAAACUGAGGAAGUGGAGAACAAAUUUCUGGGACAGCUUUGGACUGAGUCCUGCUUCCAAGCAUAUUAGAUUUUGUAAAGUCUUCCAGUCACCAAAUGAUCCAGAAAUGCAUGAAUUUAACAGUUGUGUGUCCUCCUCCCCAUGGCCAGACGCUCACUUCCACAAGCUUAGAGUUUCAUUUCAAUGUUAGACGGUUCUGGGGACAGGCUUGAGAUUAAAAGUAGAAAAUAGACUAAGCAAAUUCUUACAAGAACUUCCCUUUAGUUGAAAAAAUUAUGGACAGUGGAGUUUGCUGUAGAUUCUGAUCUCAACACCAAGCCUAACAGACAGAGGGCUUGGUGCAGUCAACUUUGCUUUGGACUGUUUUAUCUCAAUGCUACUAGAGUAACAGUGCUAUAAAACAGGUAAGCCACAGCUGCUAGUUCCUCUUAUUAACUUUAGAGUUUCCUUAAUAGUAAUUGCACGAUGUGUAAGUAUUUCUCUAAAGACAGUAUGAAGUGGAAGUAGGUUUGGCAAAGGCUACUUGGAAAAGUAUUUGGCCAUACUAGACAUGGUAAUGGAAAUGCAGCAGAGACUGAGUGGAACAGCUAAGAUGAUGAAGGAUACAGGGAUUUAGGAUAAAACUUGUAUGAAGAGUCAAAGAAAAUGAAAGCUAGAUUAACUGCCUUGAAUGGAUGAACUAAAACUACUCUGAGAAAAAAAAGUAUUAGAUAUUUGCUUUAAAAAACUACUCAAAUUUGAACUCUACAUUAAUAUACGUUUGAUACCCAGUACACGGGUUCUCUCGCUACAGAUGUAUGUGAGUAGAACACAGUGAAAGUUCAGUGAGGUACACUAACUCUGGGGCAAUUUAGGGACAUUGAAUAGAAGUUAUUGGAGCUAGGGAUAAUGAAAAUAUUCAUGGAGGUAAUGUGUCCAGCUUUGCACACAGUGAAUAAUUUUACAAAUGUUUGAAGAGCCUGUCACUUGAUUAAAGCUCAUUUGACCUAUAGUCAGAGCAUCAUAGCUGGCACUUAAGUGAAGCACUGAAUCUUAAACAGUAUUCUCUCUCAUUUGAGACAGCAGUCCCUACUCGCACCAUGCUGCCUCGGGGGGGUUCACUAGUUCAAGAGCAAUUCAACAAGAAGAGCAAUACUACAACUUUCUGCAGUGUAUAGGAGUUCUUACUUAUAUGCUAAACUUGCUCAAUACAUCAAGGUGAGAAAUGCAGAAAAAAUGCAAGUCAAACAAAUUUCUGAAGCUUUUUUUAAUCAGAUAAGAGUAAACAAUUGUAUAAAAUAACUCAAAUUUCUGAAGUUCUGCACAUGAUUAUGACACUCAGGUGUCUUCCAUUGCCCCUGAAGUACCAUUGAGUAAAGAAAGAAGCGAAGCCUCUGCUGUCCUGAUUUCUGAAAUCAGUGGUGUGGAGAGGCAGCUGCAGCAAUGCUCACUUCUGUCUUUAAAAACACACAGGCAGGGCUGUAACCUCUGCCUGUGUGGAAAGUUAAUAUAACCCACGAGCAUUGCUCCAUCUUUGGCUAAUGUCCUGUCUUAUAAAUCUAACCAACCAUAGCCUGUAACUCCUGUAAAAAAGUCUUCAAAUUCACAUGAGUUGCAGGUAUGCAUGUGCUGUGAUAUUUCUCUAAAUUAGGGUCAGGAGUGCAACAUUUUUUAGGUUGUAUUUAAGACUUUGGAUGGGCAGCAAAUACCACUUGGUCCGUCUUAACAGCACAGAUUAUAAAUUAUACUCUCUUUAGCACAUAGCAUACCAAUGGCAAGUUAAAACACACUUUGUCCAUCACAAUCUGAUUCAAUGCAUGGCUGUAACACAGAGUCACAGCAGGACUGAUAAUUUAUAAAUGAUUUAAAAAACCCUCUGUGCUACAGCUUACAGCAUGAUGUAUCUGGGUGAUACUAGACCACAUAAUCUAAAUGGAUCCUGGAGUGCAGCAAGAAAACAUACUGAACUUGCACUGGGUCAAGAAACAUUUUUGGAAUGGUACCUUAACCAGUCCACAGUCAAUGUCCAUCCCAGCCCAAACUCAUUCCAUCAAGCUUGAGUUGAUCCUAGUAAAAACCAGUUUGUCACACAAAAAUACUUCGCAAAUAAUAUUAGAGAUGGGCCUAUUAAAUACAAAAUGGCUUAUAUUCUUAAAAAAAAGUUAAAUUUGCAUCUGUUUUUGCAUUAGUAAUUGGCUCGGUUCGGUCCCUUCUGUGGUGUGAAACCUUAGACUGGUCUGGAGUGUGCCCAUCUCAGAGUUGAUGGAUGUUUUUUGAGGGAAGGGGUAUCUUGAUUAAAGAUCACUUAGGAAUGUGGAGUGCAACACAUCUAGAUAUUUAGACACAAGUCCGUGUUUGCUGGAGGCCUCUCCCAGCGUUACUCCUCUUCUGCCCAUUGGGUACUAGCCACAUGACCAUUAAUCCGAUUGGCACCAUUGCUUGAAGUGCUGAAGAUUCCUUUUGUGCUAUUUGAAGUCAUGUCGUCCUCUUCAGAACUGCUCUCUACAUCACUGCGAUCAUCUUUUGAUACCUGAAAGUUUAAAAUCAAAGGUAGAGGUGGAAGAAAGAUUACAAAUUCAUAGGGAACAGCUAUUCGAGAGGUCUUGUCUAUCUGAUCAGUUUCCCCCGUAUUAGAUUCUUUGAAUUAUUUAAAGUUGAACCCCACAAGUGGGACCUUCCAACCACAUAUAGGGAGCAUGGUACAGAAUUCAGAACAGGGGACCAAGUCAAGAGAUGAUGAUGUUGUACAGCUUUGGCCAAGCUAACUUUUGCACUUCCAAUUCAGUAUUAUAGCUCUCUUCACAUGGGUGUGUUGGUGAAGUGAUUUCAGAUCCAUGGAAGGAGCCCAUAGCAAUAUAUCACUGUUUGAUCCUUCUUCCAGUAACUAAAUUAUAGCACAGAUUAUAAAGGAUGCCUUUCCAAAUGGCAAAUUAGAAAUAUUUGUUUUAAUACUAAAUUAUGAGUUACCAGCUUGUUCAGACACCUUUUGGUAAUCAGCAGGAGGUGGGAAGAAGCAUCAGUUUUAGUUUCUAAAACCGAUGAAGUGAGCUGUAGCUCACGAAAGCUCAUGCUCAAAUAAAUUGGUUAGUCUCUAAGGUGCCACAAGUCCUCCUUUUCUUUUUGCGAAUACAGACUAACACGGCUGUUACUCUGAAACCAGUUUCUAAAGGGAUGAGUUUGUUUUUAAGGUUUGCUCAAAAGAGUACUGAUGUUUUAUUUCAAAAAGGAACUGGUCCCAUUUAGCACAUCACCAUUUGCAUAAGAUGAUUCCCUCUUUAGAGCCUGUUUACAGAGAACUACACGGUGGGUUAGUUAUCUAAGGCAUCAGUUCCCAAACGUUAUUGAUUCAUGCACCAUCUUUGUGAAAAGUUAUUGUGAAGUGCGCUGAUAGAACGUCAAGCGCAUGUACCACCAGCGGUAUCUUGACCACAUUUUGGAAACCCCUCUUCUCAGGAAUGGGUGUACACAUCUAACUCUUAAUUUGUGAGCCAAGAUACAUUUGAAUGGUGGUCUGUAGAAGGGAAAGGUUAAUUUACAGUCAUGCAGAUGACACUAGGAAUGCAGAAAGCAUCUAUAACCAGAAAGCCUUUAUAAUUUACAUCUCUACAGAUGGCCACUCUUAGGUCUUAUCAUAGGAUCUGUCUAGUUUGCAUGUGAAGCUUAGAAUCCUCCAAAAUCUCUCUCCGUGUUUUACAAGGUAUUGGCCAGGGAGAGAGUGAUGUACGAUUUCAGAACAAAAGGAGUAUUUGUGGCACCUGUGCCUAACAAAUUUGUUAGUCUCUAAGGUGCCACAAAUACUCCUUUUUUUUGCGAAUACAGACUAACACAGCUGCUACUCUGAAACCUGAAAUGUCAGGUUUCAAAGUCUGAAGACUAGAGAAGUCAACCAUGCAAUUUCAUGGUCUCCUUAAAGUUUACCACCAGGGGGCAGUGUAUCAUCAGUAUAAUGCCAAAUGAUACAUGACAGUGUGAAAGAGAAGGUGGGUGAUGAAAUAUCUUUUAUUGGACUGACUGCUGUUGGUGAAAGAAACAAGCUUUCGAGCUCCACAGAGAUGACCAGACCUGAUGAGCAGCUCUGUGGAGCUCAAGCGCUUGUCUCUUUCACCAACAGCAGUCAGUCCAAUAAAGGAUUAUCUCAUCCACCUUGUCUCACACAUCCUGGGACCAAUACAGCUACAACACUGCAAACAACAAUGCGAAAAGCUCACUAACUCAGAUUUAAUCAUACACAAGUAACCCAGUAACUGGUUAAAUGCCACGGCUAUAAAGGCAUGGGUGCUGCAAGAGGUGAGCUGUCUCCCUAUUUCCCCAUUGCCUGUAUAGAGCACUUCCCUACCCUUGCACAGCCCAAGACAAGCUCCAUGUACCUGUGAGUCUGGAACUAACAGCCCCCAAGUAUACAGUGGGCAAGCAGUUUCUCAGUGACUAACACAUUCCAGCAAAGUUCAGGAUCAGGAUCAGCCCUGCCUACUCUGAGUUGGCAUACAGACUCAAAACAGACUUAGAGAGCAAGUUUCCUGACAAAUGGAAAAAUCUGGCAGAAAGCCAGUGCCAGUUAAUGAUUUCCAGGCUGGGUUUCGACAGGCCAGCUGCAUGUGCAAACUUAAUCUAGGAGGUGCCGAAACCCCUCUGCAGCCGGAGGUUCCCUAUCUUCCCCUACCAUACCCCAUUUUAGCAAUUCAACUGGCCAGGGAAAGGAAACAGAAGCCCCUAGAUAUUAUUCUGCUUUAGUCCCACAGUCAUUUGAGAAAAGUAUUUUUUCCACCAUCUGGUUUUUCUUAAGUGAGAACUAAAGAUAAUUCUGUGUGUUGCUAUAGCCCCCUCCAUCCAUAGAUCUCCUCAGUGUUACAGUGCACUGAAACAGUAUCCCCUUUUUAUACACUGGCCAACGACAGUCACACAGCUAGUCUGCGGCAGAGUUGGGAACAGGCUCUCAGUCCCUUGUUCUAGCCACUAGACAAACCAGCACCUUAGGUUCCUGUGAUCUGUAACCACAUCUUGUUAACCUGGGUGCAACUCACAAUGAGGCAGGCAGUUUAAAGGAAGCUGCAAAAUGCAGCCCAUCUGAAGCCAAACAGCUUUUCAGACUCACAGUUUUGUAUUUAUGUCUUAAAGCUCAGAGAGAAAGAGACACACGCAUGGUCCACUCUACAAGCAACAGCACAGAUUACACUUACAUGCAAGGGAUGAAACUGUCCAGCUCCAAUCUGGCACAGAGAAAAGGAGUGAGAAAAGAGUGGAGAGUACAGAGGCAGGGUCUAGUCCUUUCCUGGCUAGGUCACCUGGUCAGGAGAGAAAAGCAAGGAGAGGAGAGAGAUAUAGACCUCCAGGUGUGGGGACAGCUACACGGACAGAUACUGUACGGGGAAACUAGCAGCAGCCAUGGAAGACAGUAACAAAUGAUAAUAGACCACACACACACACACACACCUUGCAACAUGCUCCUUCCCCACCCCUCAGAAGGCCCUCCCCCCAACACACAUUGCCAGAGGACUGCUUCAACUAUUCCUUUAGGCUAAACAAGUUCCCUACAAACAGACCAGCCCAAUAGUCUAUAGGCAGUGAAAAUGCAAUCAUGAGUGGGAUUCAGGCUUAGUUCCCAAACAGCUAGGGUGGAACAAACAUCUGUGUUACUGUCUAGCUACCCCUUCUGGUGGAGGAUCAAACAGCACUGCCUGGCUCUGAAGGAAGCUGCUUCCAGCCAUGACACAAAUGGGUAAAAAUGGGGAGCAGGAUCCAAGAUAAUUGAAGUACUCCAGCCUUCAGCCACUGGCCUGAAAACCACUGAUUCAAUAGGGAGGAAUUUGACAGCAAGCUACUCAGGGCCUGUUACUAGUCAAAUGCCUGUGAAUUUGUCUCUUCCACCCACCCUGCUGCCUGGAAAUCCUCAACUACAGGCAGCAGGGGAAAAGAAACUGUGCUAGAAACCCACGGAUUGUGUCUGGAACAAGCAUCCCUCUUCACAGAGCACUUACCUAAAAACCACAGCUUGAAAUUUUCCUUCUGUUCCUUGGAUGUCCAUCAGAGCCAGAAGGAGAUAGUUCAGGCUGCCUCCCUGUCAUGUCUUUCAAGGCAUAUGGAAGGACUUUGCAUCACUGUUACAAAGGAUCAUGUCUUUGGUGAUACAGAGUCGCUCCUCCAUAAGCAGACCUGGCAAAAUCCUGGGAACUCCAGUAUAACCCCAAAAAGCAGCACUAGCAUCAGAGUCCAGGCCAGUAACAGCUCAUCUAGGCUUUGAUGUGCUGGGGACAGGACAGCAGCUCCAAAAGGCAAGCUCCAAGGCCUUUUAUUUUUGUUCUAGGCGUUGGCUGGGGUGGCAGACAGGCCAAGAAAUGCUUAUCUUUGAGUGAAGUGGUGCGACAGGCACGAGCUCCAAGCGGGAGAGCACAGUAUGCUCCUAGGACAAACACUAACUGAAUUACACUUAUACGUACCUGCUCUCUGAGGCAACUGGGCCUGCAGCAGAGAGCGGCAUCUUUCCCUCUAACAGGAAGAGCUGCCGUCACACCCUUAUCCAUCAGGAAUUCAUUCUAACCAGAACAUUCUGCACGCUGAAACGGGACACUAUAAACAGAGUCCCACUGGCCCACUGUCAGCAGGUCCCACUACAUUUCCAGUAGCCUCCCUUGCCAACCUCACCUGGAUUACCUUGUCGCACUGUUGGGAUAUGCACCGACAGCCCUAGUCCUGGGUUAUUACUGUAGUGAGCUCCAGAUAUUGAGCUCACAUCACCCUAGAUGUCGGUAAGGUUGGAUUUUGUAACAUGGACAAUUUCCCCAAGAUAUUUAGAUGCUCCUAAUGGCAGCUCCAGAUUAAACCAGGGAGCACAACCUUCCCCGCCUCGUACUUCAUAGAGAGUGAUUGGUCUUCAAGCUGCCACAAGAGGGAAGGCAAAAGCCUUGAUCAAGUUACCAGAACAAGCAGAGCAACACACAAACUGAACUGCAUGAUGUCAUUAAAGCAUUUGAACAGGCCAGACAGCAUUAUUCACUUGCAUGGCCAGACCAUCAAAAAGCAUGUGCCUCCCGAUGUAAACACUUGGGCCACGUGGGUGCUAGAGCCUGCCAAGCCUAACUGACCAGGACAGCCCUAGAUGAAGUUAAUCACUCACAGAAGCAGCAAACCUGCUACCGUCACCUUGGAGCCAGCACUGGCCUCGCUGAACAAUGCAGACAUCUCCCUCUGAUUUUCAAACAGAUGCCCUGAUCCCCUCAGCGCUUAUGAGAGAGAGAGGAGCCAGCCCAGCCACAGGAGCCCUUACCUUUCCUCGCAACAAGGCCUUGUAGGCAAUGCGAAUGAUGAGACAGGACCAGAUGAUGUGCAGAACCUGCAGGGUUACCAACAGUCCAUUGAACAGCCACCAUGAAGGAUAAGGGCCAAUCAGCUCCCAGCUCUCAAACAAGGUAGUAUUCAAGAUCCUAAAAGAAAAUCAAGGAGCUUGUUGGAUUGGCUGCUUUGCUGCUUGACUAGGAUUCCCAGUUUCCAACUCUGAACUGAGCUGACUGGGCAGAUACACAAUAGGUUUCUGUCCCAUUUAAGCUUCUAUUGCUUUGCUCUUUUCAUAGUGUGAUGCCCCUGAUCUACUGUCCCUUGCACAGUAGAGAAAGGCCUGAAGCUGGACUUGGGUUGAAGUCCCUUGAACUAAGCAGCAAUAGGAGAAGAUGUGGAGACUCUCAGAAUUUAGGCUAAAUAUAAAAAUCCACUCUCCACCCUCUUCUCCAGGGUACGAUCAGCAUUCACAAUGGCAUCAGAGGGAGAGAUGGCAAUUGCUUGGAUCACCAAUACUGUUUUGGAUGUAUACAUGGUGUUGAGUGGAGAGAUGAGCCUUAUUCACAUGCACAGAUGAUUUUGACCACAUGUAAAGGUCAGGAAUGCCACCUGGGGGCUUUGAAGAAUUUUUGACAGCGAAGCUGCUGUUCCCUUACUCUUAGCCAUUUCCUCUGUCCCUUCUCCCAAGUCAAAGGAAUUGAAAACCAACUAAUGGGUCAAAACCAGGUGCCUCCUUGAAGAUGGCUAUGGAAUUGUUCUCUUCACUGGGAUUUAUUGGCAGUACUUAAAGAAUUUAAUAAAGCAGUUUGAUUGUUUAUAAAGUAGUCACUAGGGUAGAUUGCAGAGAGAUUUUUUAAAAGAUCAAUGCUUUCAGCAUUUAUUGAAAAAGUGAGAAAUUAACUUUCAGGAAGGGAAUCCAGAGCCUUAGUUGCAGUUAAAAAAUAAUGGUUACCUAGGCAGCAGCUUGUGGUGGAGUCAGCAUGCAGUUUCAUGUCAUUAUACCACUGAUCAGGGAAGGGAACCUGUACUGAGUGGAAUAGCAUAGCAGCUUCAGAUGCAACUGGAGACUCACAAGUUCUCCCUCUGAAGCUGAGGAAUUACAUUACAGCCAGUGGAAACCACAUUCAAGAUUUAUAAGACACAUUGAGUGACAGGGUGGUGCCAGAGAGCACAUUGCAUCAUGGCAGACAAUGGAGUGAAGAGCAGAGAGAGGAUUGCCUCAUUUGUCAGUGGAAAGCAGUAACACCCGCCCGUCUGAAGAGAGCAUCAUUUGUGGCAGGCAGAGGGGACCGACAUUUUCCCUAUCUAGACCCUUUUAUAUUUGUUUGGAGCUAUACAAAAAUAAAAAGGGAUGCUUAUCCAAGGGCCCUUGGUGCCUCUGCCACGGGGACAAAACUAAAACUAAAUAAGAGCUUAUCCUACCCCAGAAAUACAUCCCAAAGAGACGGAAAGUAGGCCUCUGCUAUUUACAAAAUAAGGAUGUAGGACGAUGACAAACCCAGGUGUAGCAGACCUUACAAGACACCCUCUCAAGGAAAACAAGACGUGGAUAAAUACAAUGAUCAGCAACAAGAUCCCACCAAGCCUGACUUUGUCCACGUGGAGGGGAGGGGAAUCUCAUUACGGAAUGAUUAAUUACAAAAAUCUUAGCUAAGAUUUCUAAAUCCAAAAAUACCCCAAUACCUAUUUCAGGCUCUAUGCAGCUAGAACAGGAGUCAGGGCAGACAAUCUUCUGAGACCAGCAGGAGAGGAGCUAGGUACUUCGGAUGACUAUAAAGAAGAGCGUCACAAACAGAACCUUGCCUCAGGGAGGAUAUGCCUCACUGGCAUCUCAACUUUUACAAGAUCUUAUCAAAAGACAUUAAACCACCUUUGGUUCUGUGGGUUCGUCUACACCGGGACACUCAGGAAAGUUUGGACAAAUUUAUUAAUGAUAUGAAGUUAAUGCACACUAAAUUGCUGGGUGAAUGCUCUCAGUCGGAAGUAAAGUGGCCUUUACUGAAGCUUAACCCUCCAAAUCCACAAAUGGUUUAGGGGUGCUUUAACGUCAAACCUUUAUUUUAUUCAUCUUAGUUCCCUGUGUAGACAAGCCUGAUCUGUAUAAUGUCUGGGAGUUACUGGCUGGGAGAGUAGGCUGCAGUUGGGGGUGGCAUUCAGCUGCACUUUUUGACUCUGUGCUCACACUAGGGGUGCUCCUACUCUAAGUACAUGACAAAACAUGAAGAAACCACUCUGACAAAACCCCAGAGCUCUGCUCCUAAGCAACAUUUAGGAGGGCUGCAGCUUCAUGCUGCCCUGAGGGGCUGCCUGUAAUGAGCGAGAGGAUCUCUAAUACAAAGACUGCCUUUAGAGGAGGGAAGGAACAAAUACUUGACUCUAUUCAGAAAGAUCCAGGUACUUACCAGAAAGGGUAAAUACCCAGUCGAGUGACUAUGAACACAACACCAAAGAGUAUGAAGGUGGCAUCACACAGGCGCUGGUACUUAGCAUAAUUGGCCAGCUUUGCAGCCUGAGAAAAACACAAAAGUGUUAAAACAGCAUUCACCAGACACAAUCAUUUGAUCAUAUGGAAAACAGUGCUGGAGCACUCAAGCCACUAAGUCACCAAGGAGUUUGGAACAUUUAAGGACUAUUAUCAACUUGGGAGAUGUCCUGGAGGAAAGCCAACAUAGUGGAAUCAGCAGUGUGUGUUUAUGGGACAUCCAGCCUGGAUUGUGUGUGGAGGGUGAGGGGUGAAACAGGAGAGGCUAGGUUUUAUCCUCUUGCCUCAAGAGUGUGCUCCUUUGUCAUUAGGGAUGCAAAGCUCAGACAGGAAGCAGCAGGCAAACUUACCUCUAAGAGGAAGUCUGAGGCAUCAUGUAGACAUAGCACCAGAGUUCCCACCCGCAACAUGUUAUUCAUAUAGGAGAAUGUAAUGAGUCCAAUUGUAGCCAAGUGAUGGACAAACAUGAUCAGGAAAUCCUGAAAGGGGAAGAUGAAAUGUGAGGGAUCUUUGGCAGCCAAAUGAUCACAGAGACUUAUAACAGGGGCACCACGACUGACAAAAAAAGGGCCAUAUGGUUAUUUUAGGUCAGACUCUCAAGCUCCUUGUUUGCAAAAAGCAGAGCAGAUUUCAGCCACAAUCAUCUUUACUUGGGAGGUGCAGACCACAGACACUACAGGUCCCAGUAUGCCGCAUCGUGAUUAACAGUUUUGCUUCAAUCAAGAUGGAACAUUGCAUGCUGGGGCCUACGGUAGUCUCCUUGGGCUGCAGCUCCGUAGCAAAGAUAAGUACAUCUGCAGGCCUCACUGUAAAACUCCAGAGGCCAACAUCUGACCUGCACUUUGACUCUCCCUGCUUUGGGAUGACUGCAUUGCUAGCAUAUGUCUACACGGCAAGCAGCAGCAAGUAUCAGAGCCUGGGUCUACAGACUUGAGAUGUGGCACUAUAAAUAGCUCUGUAGACAUUUAGGCUUGAGCCCUGAAAUCCAAGGAGGCGGGUGGGCUUCAGAGGCCGAGCUUCAGCCCAAGACAAAAUACCUACAUGGCUGUUUUUACUGCCAUAGUCUGUAGACUUGAUGCUACAGGUUUCUGAUUGCCAUGUAGAUGUAUCCCUAAGGUCUACUCUAGAGAUCACUGACAUGAGUAAUAAGAAAUAGACCUGCUAUUACUGCUAUCAAGUGGGAAAAGCCCACCAGAAGUAAGGCAAGCAGAGGCCAUGCGUGGUCCAUGCAUCAGGGCAUGCCUGGCAAUACAGUAACAGCAAAUCAGUCCAUUAAAAUUCUACAGCACAUACAAUUUUCUGACAUAGCCCCCCAAUAUCCACGUCCUGCAUUUGCAUCUUUGUUAAGGCAUUUCAAGCGGGGAAUUAAUCAACUUUUGUAGUGCUGAAUUCUUUAUUAAAAUGAAUAGAAAACAAUGCCCCAAUUGCUCCUCUCUCUCCAUUUCUGCGGCUGCAAGAUCUACCAUAGCUUGCUUGACUUUGUAUUUCAGGACAGAACAAAUCCAGAAAUUACAGACUAAUUUUUUUUUUUUUUUUGGGGGGGGGGGGGGGACAAAGUCAGUACAAGAAUUGGGACAAUUUUCUACUUUACACUUUAUAGAGCAAGAGUAAUAAACUGCUGGUUUCCUCUGAACUGUCGGUUUGUUUUCCAAGGACAAACACUAAGCCAAUGGCUAAAACUCGGCAGAGUGGAAUUAGAUUUUAGUGAUCAUGACCAGCCAUCAUUCUGCUAUUCACAUGGAUGAAAAGUCACUUUCCAAAUUCAUUUUUUUAAAUCAUUGCUACCGUCUUUGCCCCAUGCUCAUCCUGUUCAGCGAGGCAUUCAGUUGUAAAGAGAAGACUGGAACUCUUGUCCUUGAUUUCUAAGGUAGAAAUAAUUCCCACAUCUUUUGGAGGUGGUGGAAUCUCCUUCCUUAGAAGUUUUUAAGGUCAGGCUUGACAAAGCCCUGGCUGGGAUGAUUUAAUUGGGGAUCGGUCCUGCUUUGAGCAGGGGGUGGUACUAGAUGACCUCCUGAGGUCCCUUCCAGCCCUGAUAGUCCAUGAUUCUAUGAUUGCUACUCAACUGCAAGUGAAUGUCACAGCUCCUGGAAACGCCAGUUAGCACCAACUUUUAUCCAAUUGACCUGCUUUGACACUAAGGUACCCAUGAGUACUUGCUCUGAAUUUACAAUAUGGAGAUUUGACUGAUUAUAUAUAUACACACCUCAUUUGGGACUGUCACCGUUUUAUGGAUUCUAAUGACCAGUCAAUGUAAAUAUAGUAGCCCAUGAGACCUUUUAUUAUCCAAAGCUCUCAAAGCAUUUUACAUACAUUAAUGAGCAUAGCUUCACACCACCCAUAUUAUCCAUAUCACGUUAAAGAUGAGGAAAAUGAAGUUCAGAGGUAAAACACCUCGCCCAAUGAGACACACAUUAGUCAGUGGCAGAGCUAGGAAUAGAUCUAUCUGUCCUGGGUUUUAACCUCCACACAAUAAUUUCUCUCACUUAGCCAUGAAACCUGGGAUUUCCCAAAUCAACCUUAACAAGGCACUUUUGUAUAAGCCCUUUCAUGGAUCAAGACCAGGUUUAGUUAAACAUGAUUGCUACUAAAUCAAACUUCACUGUUUAAACAAGUUACGCAAAAAGGCUUGGUUCCUUCAAGUAAAUAUCUUCUCAUUUGUUUCUCUAAUCAACAAUCCUUGUACUUGUGGAACCUUCUGUGGCUCCAUUUUAAACAUUUAUAGUACCACUGUUUACAUUCUAUAAUUUUAAGGAUUUGAAAAACAGUGUCAGGAAAGUUUAAAGUUGAGAUAUGAUUUUUUUCAGACUCUUGUCUCCCUGCCUGAAUUUCAUAUUGCCCCAAGACCAAACUCAGUGAAAGUGGAUAGGGAUGAGGAAUCCAAGUAUUUCUUGGGGCUCUCCCUGAGUUCUUCAGUUGAAUUAAAGUAACACCCAGGGACAUGCUGAAGACUAGAAGACACUCACUACAAUGACCUGUGUGCCAUCACAAUAGGUUGGGAAUGUACUCCAGGAGCUCAAGAUUAUUCUUGCACUGUCCCUCAUUUCAACAUUACCUGGCUGUCAGCUUUUCUUCCUCUGGGACACAGGCCAUUUGUCCCACUGCUGUCCCAUCUGCGCCAGCACUGCCAGAUAAGCAUGGUACGUAGGGACACUGGUCCCAUGCUAUACUCAUCUCUUCCCUACUUCAGUACAGAUCAUUUUCACUCCCGCACCGCCGAACAGCAUUGGAGCUGUUCGUUCACAUCCUUCAUUCUUCCCCCUUUCCCUAGCCACCAGACUUAACAUUAAGACUGAACUUCGCACUGUUGCCUGCAGCUGUGUACCUCUAAGCUCCAGGUUCAUUUGUUAUUUGGUUCUCCCCUUAGCAUUUGCUUACCCUACAAUGUGGGAGUCACCUACCAAUUUAAUCACAGUUGAAUCUGCACUAAGCAUGGACCAGUCCCAGCCGAGCCCUUUGAAAGGGACUGUCUUCCCUUUCCUGGUGAUGAGGAGACAGUCGCUUGGUGACAAGAUGCCAGUAUGGGGCAAGUGCACAUUCUGAACACUGAAUGGCCUGGGACACAUGGCUUCUCUCAUUACAUGCCAAAGAAAUGAUUAUGCAGAGAUCAGAUGCCUCAGCAAGCUCCUCACUUGUCCAGGACAUGAAGCAAGUUCUGAACAUUACCAGCAAGGACAGCACUACUUGAAAUCCUGAGCUGUGCAAUUCAGAUACUAAGCAUCAGAAUCAAGAAAGGAAGAGUCUGCGUGCUAACCUAGAGCCAGACUUCUUCAUGGGGGUUCAGGGAAGAGCAGCCAAGCAACUUCCCAAUCUGUUCAACAAGACCUAGCUGCACAGAGGGAAAGACAGCCACUUGCGGGGCGGUUAACAGCAAGUAUCUCCGACCAAAAGAACUGACAGUUCAGAGGCCCGUAGAAACAAAAGUGUUUGCAACCUAAGAGCUGUGGCCUCCCAUUGGAGUAGAAGAACAAGGAGGGGAACCUGAUUGGCUGUCUACAAUUAUCUGAGCUGAACGAAGGGCAAAAAGAAAACUGCAAUUAAUGAGUCAUGUCUUCACAACACACAAGAGUCCUGACUAGGAAGCAUAAGGAAGAUCUGAGGCCACUGAACUCUUGCUAUUUUAGUCCCAUAUUAUGUCACUCGGAGCAAGCAGUGAAAGAAAAAAACACACAAAACUGAACUCACCGACCAGAUAAAUUUGAGUCCAUAAGAAAAUAUACUUAAAUAAAACGUAAACCUCCACCUGGGAAUGGAAAUGAGAAAGGGAAAAAAUUAAAUGUUUGAAAUUAAAUCAGCAUUGUAUGGUUUAUGUUUGUGUAGCAAAAGCUGGAAUCAUUAUAAAUGGAACCAAAUUUGGCAGUUACAGGAGUGGAGUUUUGUGCAAUCCUCCAUACAUGGCAAAUUGACUGAUAUUGCCUUUUGGAACAUCAUCUGUCCAUCAAAAUAAAAAUCAUUAUAUAAGAAUCAAACAAACAGCACAGCUCCAAAAAAAAAGUCUACAGAUUGGCUUGGAAAUACAUACCAAGGUUAAUGCCAAGUUAUACAUCUCAGUAUGUACAUAUGCUAAGGCAACAACUCUGAAGAAACCAUUGUGAUCUACUGCGACAUAUAUGACAAUACCCUGGACAAACCUUAUGGAAUUAGAGAUUAACAUGAUUGAAUUAAUUUCAAUACUUUGGGGUUCACUGUAUUUAAAAUUAAAUUAUGUAUGUGUUAUUGUGGAAUUGUAUGCAACUUCUCUAGGGGACUGACUAAUGAAAUCUCUGGGAAGGGUUAGGAACUUCACACACAUUGUCCCAGGAAGUGUCUGAAGUGGAAUUCCUAGGAGGUACUGGGGAGAAGGGGAUUGCACACCCUGAUGUACAGACUCAGCCUUGGAAGCUUCGCCCCGAGGGAAGGGACUUUGUGUCUGAUGAUCCCUUGUUACAGGAGGACAAGUCAAAGACCCAGUCUGGAUUCUCCAGGGACUAACAGACAAAACACAGAUUUUUCAAUAAAGAGCCUGAACUGAACUGACUCAGGGCCUUCCUUGUGAUCCAAAAACUGGACAUGACCUGUGGAACCUAGGGAAGAAUUGGAAGGACUUGGCCUGCUGAGGCCCCAUAAGACUGAGUGCUAGUUCUGAGUUAAAGCUGUUAUGAACUUAUGACCACAAAAGAGAGAGCCCUUUGGGGUCUGAAGGGCUCACCUGCCAGACACCAUGUUAGAGCCAGUUGGGGUGAUCUCUGGUAAGCUUAUUAGCAUGUCUGUAGGUACUUUUAUUGGCUUUAAUGUUUUCACUGUAGUGCUUUUACCCUAAGAAU
RNA transcript from Chelonia mydas (Green sea turtle), 18319 nucleotides. It is a transcript of the gene named cytochrome c oxidase assembly protein COX14, with no coding region annotated. The transcript has 4 exons. The record is from RefSeq and is a predicted model, not a curated record. Lineage: Eukaryota; Metazoa; Chordata; Testudines; Cheloniidae.